AAAAGUCUCUUUGUGUGUAAUCCCAUAGAUUUUAUUCUGUCUGGUAGUGAGAUAUAUUGUGAUCUCUAUUACAAUAUUAUCAAAACUCCUUUCAAUGGGUUGGAACCAUUCCAACUCUGUCCACCAAAGAUCAUUAAUCAUCGAGAUGAUACUCGUGGGUCUCACAAUCCAUCAGUGACACCUAGCAAUAUGUAGUGGCAACCCA
This 205-nucleotide long non-coding RNA is filed under the name Elaeis guineensis (African oil palm). RNAcentral describes it as "long non-coding RNA (EGUI_LNC020458)". Lineage: Eukaryota; Viridiplantae; Streptophyta; Magnoliopsida; Arecales; Arecaceae. The record is from RNAcentral.